CCUACGGGUGGCAGCAGUGAGGAAUAUUGGUCAAUGGACGAGAGCCUGAACCAGCCAAGUAGCGUGAAGGAUGACUGCCCUAUGGGUUGUAAACUUCUUUUAUAAAGGAAUAAAACGAGGCACGUGUGCCUCUUUGCAUGUACUUUAUGAAUAAGGAUCGGCUAACUCCGUGCCAGCAGCCGCGGUAAUACGGAGGAUCCGAGCGUUAUCCGGAUUUAUUGGGUUUAAAGGGAGAGUAGAUGGGUUGUUAAGUCAGUUGUGAAAGUUUGCGGCUCAACCGUAAAAUUGCAAUUGAUACUGGCAGACUUGAGUACAGUUGAGGUAGGCGGAAUUCGUGGUGUAGCGGUGAAAUGCUUAGAUAUCACGAAGAACCCCGAUUGCGAAGGCAGCUUACUAAACUGUGACUGACAUUGAUGCUCGAAAGUGUGGGUAUCAAACAGGAUUAGAUACCCUAGUAGUC
This 460-nucleotide ribosomal RNA is filed under the name uncultured bacterium. RNAcentral's name for it is "partial 16S ribosomal RNA". It matches the Rfam family "Bacterial small subunit ribosomal RNA", at positions 338 to 795 of the family's 1533-position model. The record is from RNAcentral.